RNAcentral lists this ribosomal RNA (549 nucleotides) under uncultured bacterium. RNAcentral describes it as "partial 16S ribosomal RNA". It matches the Rfam family "Bacterial small subunit ribosomal RNA", at positions 355 to 895 of the family's 1533-position model. The record is from RNAcentral.
UGGGGAAUUUUGGACAAUGGGGGAAACCCUGAUCCAGCCAUCCCGCGUGUGCGAUGAAGGCCUUCGGGUUGUAAAGCACUUUUGGCAGGAAAGAAACGUCGCGGGUUAAUACCCCGCGAAACUGACGGUACCUGCAGAAUAAGCACCGGCUAACUACGUGCCAGCAGCCGCGGUAAUACGUAGGGUGCAAGCGUUAAUCGGAAUUACUGGGCGUAAAGCGUGCGCAGGCGGUUCGGAAAGAAAGAUGUGAAAUCCCAGAGCUUAACUUUGGAACUGCAUUUUUAACUACCGGGCUAGAGUGUGUCAGAGGGAGGUGGAAUUCCGCGUGUAGCAGUGAAAUGCGUAGAUAUGCGGAGGAACACCGAUGGCGAAGGCAGCCUCCUGGGAUAACACUGACGCUCAUGCACGAAAGCGUGGGGAGCAAAACAGGAUUAGAUACCCUGGUAGUCCACGCCCUAAACGAUGUCAACUAGCUGUUGGGGCCUUCGGGCCUUGGUAGCGCAGCUAACGCGUGAAGUUGACCGCCUGGGGAGUACGGUCGGCAAGAUU